Long non-coding RNA from Bufo bufo (common toad), 380 nucleotides. RefSeq lists it as uncharacterized. The transcript is spliced from 3 exons. The record is from RefSeq and is a predicted model, not a curated record. NCBI's taxonomy places the organism in Eukaryota, Metazoa, Chordata, Amphibia, Anura, Bufonidae.
AUGAGGCGGACCCCACGACUGCGGAGCCAGGCCACAACCGGACGCAUUCGUUUCGUGAAACACCGCGGUGCUGAGGAAAGGCCGAAAGGGAGACAAGAGAACCGCCAGAUCUCUCCCUUCCACAGGAAACGCAGCAAGUCCCUGGAGGGGGCGGACAUGGGGACUGUCAAGUAAGCGUCCUGGAGGUCUAGUUUUACAAACCAAUCGCUCGGCAUAAGGAGAUCUCGGAGUAGAUGGAUGCCCUCCAUCUUGAAGUGGCGAUAGCGGACAAUCGCAUUCAGAGCCCGCAAAUUGAUAACUGGGCGCAUCUGACCCCCUUUCUUCUGGACCAGAAAGAUAGAGCUGACGACCCCUUUCCGUGAGCCACGAGGGGCCCUUUC